GUGCCAGCAGCCGCGGUAAUACAUAGGGGUCAAGCGUUGUCCGGAUUUAUUGGGCGUAAAGAGCUCGUAGGCGGUUCAACAAGUCGGUCGUAAAAGUUUAGGGCUCAACCCUAAAAUGUCGAUCGAUACUGUUGUGACUAGGAUACGGUAGAGGUGAAUGGAAUUCCGAGUGUAGCGGUGAAAUGCUUUGAUAUAACACAGAACACCGAUAGCGAAGGCAGCUUGCCAGACUGUAAAUGACGCUGAGGCACGAACGCGUGGGGAGCGAACAGGAUUAGAUA
RNAcentral lists this ribosomal RNA (281 nucleotides) under uncultured bacterium. RNAcentral describes it as "partial 16S ribosomal RNA". It matches the Rfam family "Bacterial small subunit ribosomal RNA", at positions 505 to 784 of the family's 1533-position model. The record is from RNAcentral.